AACGAACGCUGGCGGCAUGCCUAACACAUGCAAGUCGAACGAGACCUUCGGGUCUAGUGGCGCACGGGUGCGUAACGCGUGGGAACCUGCCCUUAGGUUCGGAAUAACUCCCCGAAAGGGGUGCUAAUACCGGAUAAUGUCUUCGGACCAAAGAUUUAUCGCCUUUGGAUGGGCCCGCGUUGGAUUAGCUAGUUGGUAGGGUAAAAGCCUACCAAGGCGACGAUCCAUAGCUGGUCUGAGAGGAUGAUCAGCCACACUGGGACUGAGACACGGCCCAGAAUCCUACGGGAGGCAGCAGUGGGGAAUAUUGGACAAUGGGGGAAGGCCUGAUCCAGCAAUGCCGCGUGAGUGAUGAAGGCCUUAGGGUUGUAAAGCUCUUUUACCCGGGAUGAUAAUGACAGUACCGGGAGAAUAAGCUCCGGCUAACUCCGUG
This 433-nucleotide ribosomal RNA is filed under the name uncultured bacterium. RNAcentral describes it as "partial 16S ribosomal RNA". It matches the Rfam family "Bacterial small subunit ribosomal RNA", at positions 29 to 507 of the family's 1533-position model. The record is from RNAcentral.